This 30-nucleotide ribosomal RNA is filed under the name Bemisia tabaci. RNAcentral describes it as "partial 5.8S ribosomal RNA". Lineage: Eukaryota; Metazoa; Arthropoda; Insecta; Hemiptera; Aleyrodidae. The record is from RNAcentral.
CCGAAACGGUGGAUCACUCGGCUCGCGGAU